RNAcentral lists this ribosomal RNA (253 nucleotides) under uncultured bacterium. RNAcentral's name for it is "partial 16S ribosomal RNA". It matches the Rfam family "Bacterial small subunit ribosomal RNA", at positions 524 to 776 of the family's 1533-position model. The record is from RNAcentral.
UACAGAGGGGGCUAGCGUUGUUCGGAAUGACUGGGCGUAAAGCGCGCGUAGGCGGACCUGCAAGCCAGAGGUGAAAGCCCGGGGCUCAACCCCGGAAUGGCCUUUGGGACUGCCGGUCUCGAGUUCGAGAGAGGUGGGUGGAAUUCCGAGUGUAGAGGUGAAAUUCGUAGAUAUUCGGAGGAACACCAGUGGCGAAGGCGGCCCACUGGCUCGACACUGACGCUGAGGCGCGAAAGCGUGGGGAGCAAACAGG